RNAcentral lists this non-coding RNA (21 nucleotides) under Caenorhabditis elegans. Lineage: Eukaryota; Metazoa; Nematoda; Chromadorea; Rhabditida; Rhabditidae. The record is from RNAcentral.
UUAUUGUAAAACUAACUUAUC